AUGCUUAGCAAUCUUUCUGAUAAUCGCAAACUUACUUUUAAUACAUCAUCAAAUAUUUGCUCUGGGCAUUUGCCAGGGUACAAUAGAGGCACGGCGGCGUUGCAAUCGUUAGUGAAUUUUUUUAAGGUAGCUCGAAGGUAUUUUGUUGAACACAGGGAAAAAUCUCUCGGGUUGCACCGCAGGGAUUAUAUCGGCGACUAUCCCCUGUCCAGGCUCAUUCCGUUCCCAGAGGAACGUGUGAACGGCAGCACGGCACCGCUCGGGAAAUUUGUCCGUUCCGAGAGGCAGAAACAUAGGGGUUGCCGCUCCCAGCCUAGGCACCGAGCUGCUGAAGUAGUAAAGAAAAAAAAGCUAUCCCGAAUGACGCAGUUUAAAACUGGCUCUAAAGUCAUCCGGGCACGGAUACCUCUGCAGCGCAGAGCAACCCCGGGAGAACAAGCCAGCGCUCGUCCCCGCGCCGCCGGCCGCCCCGGGGAAAUCCCGCGCGCUGGCUCGUGCCGCCGGCCCGGGGCUUACCUGAUCGCAGCAGGGCGGCGCGGGGGCGGCCGGGGGCGCCGGGCGGCCCGCUCGCCCACUCGCCCGCACCCCGCCACAUGGGGCCGCGCGGGCUGCCCUCGCCCUCCUGCCCCGCCAGCCCGGCGCGCGGCUCCCGCGAAGCUCGCCGAGUCCUGCCGGCUCCGCUCAGCCGGAGCGAGGAUGGAGGGUCACGUGGCGCCCGCCGCUGCGCCCUCGCUCCCUCCCCUCCGCUCUCGCCAUCCCACCGGCUCCCCGACGCCGCGGCCUUGCCCGGCCCGCGGGCUCGCUCCGCGCUGGGAACUCGCUCCCUUUCAGCUCGUUGCCGGGCAAUGUUUUCCCACGACUGCCAAAAAACCUGUUUUUUUUUCUUUAUCUCCGAAGGAAACACCUUYGGAGGCGCCGGAGCAGCCGCUCGCCGUGACCCCUGCGCCGGGAACGGUGGCCGCGUGGAGCUGGUGGGGGGGACGCGGCCCCGCUCCCGGGGACGGCGAGGGUAGUUUCUCCUAA
This 1023-nucleotide long non-coding RNA is filed under the name Apteryx haastii (Great spotted kiwi). Its description in RNAcentral is "lncRNA (ENSAHAG00000008415.1)". Lineage: Eukaryota; Metazoa; Chordata; Aves; Apterygiformes; Apterygidae. The record is from RNAcentral.